UGGGGAAUUUUGGACAAUGGGCGAAAGCCUGAUCCAGCAAUGCCGCGUGUGUGAAGAAGGCCUUCGGGUUGUAAAGCACUUUUGUCCGGAAAGAAAUCCUUGGCUCUAAUACAGUCGGGGGAUGACGGUACCGGAAGAAUAAGCACCGGCUAACUACGUGCCAGCAGCCGCGGUAAUACGUAGGGUGCAAGCGUUAAUCGGAAUUACUGGGCGUAAAGCGUGCGCAGGCGGUUUGCUAAGACCGAUGUGAAAUCCCCGGGCUCAACCUGGGAACUGCAUUGGUGACUGGCAGGCUAGAGUAUGGCAGAGGGGGGUAGAAUUCCACGUGUAGCAGUGAAAUGCGUAGAGAUGUGGAGGAAUACCGAUGGCGAAGGCAGCCCCCUGGGCCAAUACUGACGCUCAUGCACGAAAGCGUGGGGAGCAAACAGGAUUAGAUACCCUGGUAGUCCACGCCCUAAAACGAUGUCAACUAGUUGUUGGGGAUUCAUUUCCUUAGUAACGUAGUUAACGCGUGAAGUUGACCGCCUGGGGAGUACGGUCGCAAGAUUAAAACUCAAAUGAAUUGACGGGGUCAUAGCUGUUUCCU
Molecule: ribosomal RNA, 586 nt
Filed under: uncultured bacterium
Lineage: Bacteria
Description: partial 16S ribosomal RNA
Rfam family: Bacterial small subunit ribosomal RNA
Source: RNAcentral